CUUUACCUGCAGCACACAGCAGAAGCACAAACCCAGCUAGAAGACGCCACAUAGUGCAAUCUGAAGAAACCAGACAGACUUCCACUGGAGAUGGACAAUAAGCUUUCGUCCGUCUGAAAGAGUCUGAGUGUUCACGCCAGUAACAGAAGGUUGCAGUAAAAACACACAAAGGAGGGACUGAAUUAAUGUCAUAUGACAUGAGGGUUCAUUGGGGGUGGCCAAAUAUUUACUGAACCGGGUCAAGGUCUGUGUUUGAUACCCCUCGGUAGAGACUGCGGGGGUGAUCGUUGAGGACGCCUUCAUUUCACCCCUGGGAAAAUGCACUGUCAAUGUGUGGUGGUGCUUUUAAAAGUAAUUUAUGAAUUAUUGGUUGAAAUAUGAAAAAGCCAUUAGAACUUAAAGGGUUAGUUCACCCAAAAAUGAAAAUAAUGUAAUUUAUUACUCACCCUCAUGCCGUUCCACACCCGUAAGACCUUCGUUAAUCUUCGGAACACAAAUUAAGAUAUUCUUGUUGAAAUCCGAUGGCUCAGUGAGGCCUCCAUAGCCAGCAAUGACAUUUCCUCUCUCAAGAUCCAUUAAUGUACUAAAAACAUAUUUAAAUCAGUUCAUGUGAGUACAGUGGUUCAAUAUUAAUAUUAUAAAGCGACGAGAAUAUUUUUGGUGCGCCAAAAAAACAAAAUAACGACUUAUAUAGUGAUGGCCGAUUUCAAAACACUGAUUAAUGACAGAAUUUUCAUUUUUGGGUGAACUAACCCUUUAAAAGAAUCAAAUUACUAGAAUGAGCUCAAAUUGAAGAUCGGCCAGCUCAUAAGUGGUUGUUUGAGUGUUAUAUAAAGCACUGUUUACAAUGGGCUGUGUUAAACAUUGAUUUACAGUGAUAACAUAGAUUAGUCUCCUAAAUAUAUAGCUGAUGUGUAAAUAAAUAGUAUAUUAAACUAUUUAUAUACUCUGUAUAAGGUAAAGAGAGUUCACUGCGAGGCCAGAUCUUAUUUUAGAAAAAUGGCUAUACUGCAUUAACUUUAUAAUUCUAAAUAUAAAUCUAAUUCUACCUUGACUUCAAGUUUUUUCUCCCUUGAUAAAGUUAACCUUACUACAUUUUACCACUAUAACACAUAUACUAUAAUACACAAAAUGAGAAACUGAUUCAGUAGAAAUUAUGUUAUGUUAGAAGAAAUGGCGAGGAGUGAAACGAGACAAUAUAUUAAAGUGAAUUUAUUGGUCAAGCACGAACAAGUCCAAAGAGUUGUGUCUGUAAAUGAACAGGAGCUUUUCUUCAGACCGCCUUUUAUUGAAAUCCCAAUAAAGUGCAAAACGUUCUACCCCAGGAUCACACAAAGGUAGGCUAAAUAUUUUUUUCAAAUAUGAACUUAGAUUUUAUUUACUAUUUAAUUUUUAGACUGAUUUUACCUCAUAAAUAUUUGAGUCUGUCAAUGCAAAUUUGUAGAUUAACAAAAGUAUUUCUGUCAUAAGUUCAACUAAAGCAUCUGUCAGAGUGAUUAAUUCAUAAAGCUAAUCUUUUAUUUACACAGGUUAUUAUUGUCAAGCAAACAGUUGUGCUUUGUGGUCUCCCCAUUCUUCGAUAUAGGCCUGCUGUAGAUUUAUUUUUAUAGAUUGUUUCUUUUUUUUCUUUUUUUUGUCAGUCUUAAACCUCGUUUUCAUUCCUCUCAGAAAUUUGACAUGGCUCUACCCUGACUAAGGUCUAUGAAGAGGCAGAUAAGCAUAUUUCUAUUAGGGUGGAAUUGGAUUAAGGACCAAUUUAUAGGCAGAAAAAGAUCAUAAGCAGACAUCUUUUUCAAUACAGCCAACUGCUAAAAAAAAGUUGUGACUAACCGAAUUAUUGAAAAUCAGAGAUAAAUGCGAAAAUGAAUUAUUCUCUCACCAAGUUUGAAGUGAAACGAGAGAUGGAAAGUAACUUUGCAGAAAUGCUUGAAACACGAGAUGAGCUACUGCCACUGUGAACGAAAUGUAGACCAACUUAAAUGAGCAUAUAAAUGUAAUACAUUUUAAAAAUGAUAUAUUGCAAUUAUACAGAAUGUUCAUUUUAUUUCUUUUUUAAAAAUCAUCCUAAUGUAGUUAAUAGUGAACACUGGUUUUAAAACACAUUUUUGAAUAGAAAGAGGUUUUGCAAAAUUAGAACUUAUUAAUGUGAUAGUCAUUUUUGUUUACUGAUGUUGUGUACAUUUAAUCAAAGACAAAACAUAUGAUUUUAAUCAAUAUUUUAAUCAUUUGUAUUUUAAUACAUCUGGGGUUCGAUAAACAAUGUCACCAUGAUCACUUUAUAAACAGAUCAACUACAAACCAUAAACUGAAAAUGAUGCAUUUUGCCAAAAUAGCUUGAAGAUGCAGAUACUCAAUUUAACCAAAUGUAAUUAUUCAAAAAAUGAUUUAGAAAGAGAUUAAAUGA
Ctenopharyngodon idella (grass carp) is the source of this 2404-nucleotide long non-coding RNA. RefSeq lists it as uncharacterized. NCBI's taxonomy places the organism in Eukaryota, Metazoa, Chordata, Actinopteri, Cypriniformes, Xenocyprididae. The transcript has 2 exons. The record is from RefSeq and is a predicted model, not a curated record.